UUUCAAUCUCAAUGCAUUAGGACUCUAGUAUAGAGUUCAAUGGGAACAGAUAAAUUGUGACAUUACAAAAAUAUUUGCCUCCUGUUUUGAAUACGAUAGAGGAUAGCGUCAUUAAAUUGGAAAAAUGAUUAAAUUAAAGCAGGAUAUUAAUCUGGAAGAUUAUACUCUUAUUUUGCCAUCGGUAGCGGUUGGAAACGUCGGGCAAUUGUCCGUCGACUUGCUUAUUUCAAAUCUUAACCUUCAAAAAAUUGGUCAGAUCUUCAGCGCGGCAUUUGUGCCUAUCAUCGGCGCAAACGCUUAUCACGAAUGUUCAAACGAGCUUAUUACAGCGAUCGACGUCUAUGCAGGAUUCAAGGAACAUGUUGUUGUUGUGCAGAUUCGUUCGCCGUAUGUGGGAGAGCUAACCGAAUUUUUCGACGAACUGGCGCGAUUCGUCAUUGAAAGAAAAAUAGCUAAAGUAAUAAUUCUUGCGAGCAGUUAUGAUUACGAAAAGAGAGAUAUCCAGCCGCAGCAUUUCAAAUUGAGAUACGUCGCAUCUUCUGGCAUACAAUCUGAGAGUGGUCAGCUUUUCGAUGAUCUCAAUUGGAUUCCACAUAAACCAAAAGUUAUAUCUGAUACAAGGGAAGAGGGAAAGUUACAGAUACCAGGAGGUGGAUUUGCAAAGAGUAUCUUUAACUUUUUAUCACAUGCCAAUAUUCCUUGUGCAAUCUUAUUCAAAUUCUGUUCCGAGGGAGAUAAUAUCGCAGAUGCGAUAGCUCUGGUGUGUUACUUAAAUCAAUGGAUACAAGUGUUAGAAACAAACAGUGGUGAUAAUUUAAAAUAUCCACCAUCUUGGAAACACCUAUUUGGAAAACCACCGCCACAUGACAUAUAUUAAACAUAUUAUAAUGUCCUAUAUGUUACUUUGUUAAUUUUAUAAUAUAAUAAUAUUUUUGCUAAGAUUGUAUACAAACUAUAUCUAAUGUAGAGAGUUUAACAAAUUAUUUAAAACAAGAAAAUGCCGAAUAGGAUACAAAACUAGCUAAGAAAGCAGCCAAAAAUUCAGAAUUCACCCAAGGACCAAGAUAUACGCCUGGAUUGUUGAGGACAACUACUGCCAAAGGACUCACACUAUCACUAUCCUCUCCGUUCCUUAUGGCUUUGCGAACAGCGUUGUAUUUAUCUCCGUCAUAUAAUUUUAUGUAGUAAUCGCCAGAUCUCGCUUUUUUGAUAUCUUCUGUCCAAGAUAUCUGUAACGUGCAAAACAAAUGUGUUACAA
RNA transcript from Formica exsecta, 1258 nucleotides. It is a transcript of the gene named proteasome assembly chaperone 2-like, with no coding region annotated. The transcript is spliced from 3 exons. The record is from RefSeq and is a predicted model, not a curated record. NCBI's taxonomy places the organism in Eukaryota, Metazoa, Arthropoda, Insecta, Hymenoptera, Formicidae.